This 383-nucleotide ribosomal RNA is filed under the name uncultured eukaryote. RNAcentral describes it as "partial 18S ribosomal RNA". It matches the Rfam family "Eukaryotic small subunit ribosomal RNA", at positions 592 to 976 of the family's 1831-position model. The record is from RNAcentral.
CAAUAGCGUAUAUUAAAGUUGUUGCAGUUAAAAAGCUCAUAGUUGGAUUUCUGGUGGGAGCGAUCGGUCUGGCGCUUAGCGCGAGUACUUGCAUCGUCUCCGGCCAUCCUUGGGGAGAGUCUGUCUGGCAUUAGGUUGUCGGGCAGAGGAUCCUCAUCGUUUACUGUGAAAAAAUUAGAGUGUUCAAAGCAGGCUUAUGCCGUUGAAUAUAUUAGCAUGGAAUAAUAAGAUAGGACUUUGGUACUAUUUUGUUGGUUUGCGCACCAAAGUAAUGAUUAAUAGGGACAGUUGGGGGUAUUCGUAUUCCGUUGUCAGAGGUGAAAUUCUUGGAUUUACGGAAGACGAACUACUGCGAAAGCAUUUACCAAGGAUGUUUUCAUUAA